RNAcentral lists this long non-coding RNA (3423 nucleotides) under Homo sapiens (human). Its description in RNAcentral is "HSALNT0273521". Lineage: Eukaryota; Metazoa; Chordata; Mammalia; Primates; Hominidae. The record is from RNAcentral.
AGGGAACCGCAGGGACAAGGACACCGGGUGGUGAAAAUGCAGCGCGUGUAUUUUUCUUGCUUUGCUGUCGAUCCGUGAACAUGUCCUCAUGCAUAGACCUCUGCCAGCUCCCAUUUACAAGCCCUGCUCUGGACAAAGGAGAUGUGAUCAAUGCCACAGGUGGGGGAGAAGAGCUCCCUGAGGCUCAGCCUAGCCUUGGGGAAGUUGCGAUCUGCCGAGGGCAGUGAAGCUGUGGGCACCUGACCUGCUGGCACGAUAACUCUGCGCUCGUUCGUGGUCAUGUUUGGGGGUGGCAUGUGCUUCUCCUCCAUGUAGCUGCCGUAGUUCAUCCCAACGGUGUCUGGGCUGCCCACCAUCUUCCCGCCUUUGGCCACACUGCAUUCAUCAGGAGAGUUCCUGGAGGAGAAGAAAUAUUCUUCCAUUAUAACAGCAAUCAAAGAGCAUGUCUCCAUCGACUUCUCACAAUACACAGAGAGAACCAAAGAAGGGCAAGGCGGAAGAGACUGGGGGAGAAAGGACAAGUGUGAAAAGCCAAAUACAGGCGGGGUGCCGUGGCUCAUGCCUGUAGUCCCAACACUUUGGGAUGCCGAGGUGGGCGGAUCAUGAGGUCAAGAGAUCCAGACCAUCCUGGCCAACAUGGUGAAACCCCGUCUCUACUAAAAAUACAAAAAUUAGCUGGGCAUGCCUGUAGUCCCAGCUACUCAGGAGGCUGAGGCAGGAAAAUUGCUUGAAUCCGGGAGGUGGAGGUUGCAGUGAGCUGAGAUCAUGCCACUGCACUCCAGACUGGCGACAGAGUAAGAUUCCAUCUCAAAACAAAAAAGAAAAGAAAAGAAAAGAAAUGCCGAAAACAGGCCUUGCCUUCUGUCCUCCCGAAAUGCAUAUUUUGAAGCCCUAACUCCCAAUGUGAUGAUAUUAGGAGAGAGAGCCUUUGGGAGGUAAUUUCAGUUUGAUGAGGUCAUGAGGGUAGAGUCCCACGAUGGGAUUAGUGCCCUUAUUAGAAAAGAAAGAGACCAGAGCUCGAGCUCUCUCUCUCUCUCUCUCUCUCUCUCUCUCUCUCUCUGCCAUGUAAGGGCAGAGCAAGAAGGUGGCCAGGCCAUCUGCAACCCAAGGACAGAGACCUCACCAGAGACUGGCCCUGCUGGUGUCUGAUUUUAGACUUCCAACCUCCAGAAGUAUGCAAGCUCGAGUCCCAUUGUUUCAGCCAGCCAGUCUGUGGGGCUCUGUGAAGGCAGCCUGCACAGGCUAGGACAGUGCCCAUACUGGCUAGAUGCACAGAACACGCACAAGGGAGGCGGAACUACCACCUGGCUUCUGUUUCUUAAGCAGCUCCUCCUGAAACUGUCAUGUCAAAACUCCAUCUGUGACAACUGAUUGGGGACACUUGCAGGGAACAGUGAACUGCUCUUUGUUCUCGCGGUGUGACAGCAAACAGGCAGAGUAGACAGAUGCUGUGGGGCGGCACCAGGGACACUCGCUGCUCAGUGAGGUUUAUCCUGGAACGACGUUCCUUCUCAAAACCUCAGAAUGAAAUCCUCCUGCUCAAUUUCAAAUCCCUGCAGCCAAUCUUUACAUAUGGAGCUUUGAAGACUCACAGUGUUCCAGGCUUAGGUGUAGACAGGAAGGGCAGGGAAGGGUGAGGACUGACGCUAGGGGAGGCCUCAUGGGGAGUGGACUCCAGCAGUCCUAGAGGACCCUUGGGAAAGGGAUAGGGAAGGAACUGUGUGGAUGCAGAGAGGGGUCAGCUACUGACUACUGACCGUGGGCAACAGGUCACAGGGCUGCUGUUAGUAAGGCAGUCACUGUCAUUUGGAUAAAGUCAAACCUACCUUUCUGGAAAAAGAAAAGGAAAACAUUUUAAACAGUGAGUUGUGAAAGCUACAGGACAUUGGUGAAAUCGCAUCUGAUAGGGAAAUGCUAAAAAGAAAAUCCAGCUUAGGGCCAGGAGUGGUGGCUCACACCUGUAAUCCCAGCAUUUUGGGAGGCCGAGGUGGGCAGAUCACCUGAGGUCAGGAGUUCAAGACCAGCCUGAUCAACAUGGAGAAACCCAGUCUUUACUAAAAAUACAAAAUUAGCUGGGCAAGUGGUGGUGCAUGCCUUUAAUCUCAGCUACUCGGGAGGCUGAGGCAGGAGAAUCCCUUGAACCUGGGAGGUUGAGGUCGUGGUGAGCUGAGAUGGCGCCAUUGCACUCCAGCCUGGGCAACAUGAGUGAAACUCCAUCAAAAAAAGAAGAAAGGAAAGAAAGAAAGAAAGAGAGAGAGAAAGAGAGAGAAAGAAAAGAGAGAGAAAAUCCAGCUUAAGCAGAAAACAGAAAAUACAUGUCAGUGCCUUCUUAGAUGGUUAACACGUAGAUGGUAAACCCAGGGUCACUGUAGCUGAGAAGUAUUAAUAUUUAGGGUCUGUUGUCUAAGGCGGAUUUCCAGAAAUGCCUCUCAGGCUCUAUCCAAUGCAUACAUUUUUUUCAUAUUCCUUGGAAUCUGGGAACCUUCGCUUUCUCUAGAUUUUAGAUUUCUAUCCCAGUGUUUCUGGUUGUGGGAUCCACGCCAAUGAAGCCUCAUUUAUCUCCUCCACUUCUUGUUAGUUGGAGUUCUGCAGAGAACUUGGACAAUCAAAAAACUAUGGGCUUGGCAUGGAUGUGAACUUCAAGUCUAAGGAGGUCAAAACCAUCUGAGGCAGGAGCGCACUUUCUGAGUGGGGUGAGAUGGAGAAGGUCAUUCCACACCUGAAAGCCAUAGCUGGGAUGUGGACAGGAAGGGAAAGUGUUUGUUCAGCAUGUGGGAACUUGAAAAUAUAGGUUUGUUCUCAGCAUCACUUACAAAUGUGUCUGAAGCCUAUGGAGGGAUCUUAGGUGUUGGCAGUGAAGAGGGUACACUGCCAUCUGCGGAUGGAGGUUACAGUCAGGGUCACGCAGGACUCAGGCCCUAACAUGGGCCUGGAAUGCACAGCCCUGCCUGAUGGCAUCCUCACAGCUGUGCUAACAUGAAGGAAAUUUUAAAAUAAUAAUGGUCUGAGUUCCCAUGAAGUAGAUCCUGAAUAUUUCCACCGCUGCCUACACAUGCAUUAUUUCCUCUUGAUGCUAUUUUUCCUGGCUUCACACAUUUAUCUCUAAAAGACCCAUCCUAAUAUGAAAACACAGAGUGUCUUCACUUAGACUGAGUUUCCUAUUCCUCUGGAAAAUUCCAUCAGUUGAGUAGAGUGUAUAUGUUUUGGUAUAUUUGUCUCAAGGAGAGAAGUUACCAGGGAAGAGAAGUUAGAGGGAUUAGGUUCUUUAGGAAAAAGACUUUGCCCAGAUGAUGUGAGUAACUCAAGUAACAACUAUAAAAUCUAGACAACCUUUGUUCAGAUUCAAUCAUUCACUCAUCCAUUUAGACAGCUGUUAUCAAGUGCCGGCCGUAUACCAGGUCCCAUCAAUUCUUUCUUCUCCAA